Long non-coding RNA from Pygocentrus nattereri (red-bellied piranha), 4527 nucleotides. Lineage: Eukaryota; Metazoa; Chordata; Actinopteri; Characiformes; Serrasalmidae. The record is from Ensembl.
ACUCUCUCCUGGCUGCUCGGUGUCCUCGCCAUGCUGUGGCACAGAGCUUUAUUCCACAGACCGACUACAGCUGGAGCUGGAAAACACUGGCACAGGCCUCACUCAGACUGGGAUGGUUUACGAGGGGGCGUCUAUAAUAAUCGACACAGCUCAGUGAUAAAACUCCCACAUUCGGACUGCAGUGUAGAGUGGAUGGAGAAGAACUUCUACCACCCAAACCAAGUAAAUGAUUGAGACUCUGCUAAAUCCUUGUAACUGGGACGCGUUUAAGAUGGAUAUGCCCUACACCGUUCUAAAUAAAGCUUCUGUGUAGGUACGUUUUCGUUCAUCCUGGUAUGAAUGUUGUUAAUGUUCACUCAAAGGUACAGCAGAGGCUUUCAGAUCCAAUUGUGUACCUUAAGACAUUUUUUUUCCCCCCAGUGGAAAAAGAUUAAGUGACCCUUAUUAGUCCCACAACGGGGAAAUUUCACCCAUCCGUGGAGUGAAACAACACAUACACUCUAGUGAGCGCACACACACUAGGGGGCAGUGAGCACACUUGCCCAGAGCGGUGGGCCGCCCAAUCAGCUGGGGGUUAGGCGUCUUGCUCAUGGACACCUCAGUCAUGUGCUGUCGGCUCUGGGGAUCAAACCGGCGACCUUCCGUUCACAAGGCUGGUUCCCUAACCUCCAGCCCACGACUGCCCCAUAUUUGUACCUUUUCAGAGCCCAAGUCGGGGUGUGUGGAGUCGAUACAACUUAGAAAAUAUACCGUGAGGGAACCCCCCCCAGUGAGUUUCGUACCUUUUUUCUGAGAGUGUAGGAGAAUACAGUGGAUAGUAAAAACUGCCUUUUUCCUCCAAUCUGUCUGGAAAAUCAUGGAAGUGUGUAUCCAGACUGGACCAACAUAAUCAGACGGCUGCUGAGUUUGGUGAAAAACAGCAAGCCAGUAAUUAGGAGGGAAAAAAAACCACCAACAUGGCUGAUCCACUGGAAAUAAAAUCGCAGGGCAGCACAUGAAAAAGAGGAAAUUACCUCAGGACCCCACGUACAUCCCACCCGAAAAGGGCUAGAGACACGGCGUAGACUGAGAACUACAGUGACUGUAUGGAAGGAAAGGAACACUCAGUUUUUCAACCUGAUCUGUCACAUUAUCUGUACCAUGUUCGAGAUGUAGAAAUAAACACACACACACACACACACACACACACACACACACACACAGACUCAAUGGGCUUUCAGUUCUUUACCAAGUGCAGGAAAAUGCAUUUAAAUUGAAAUCUGUGGUAACUGACCGUACGCUGUAUACAGCAGGUGGAGAUUAGAGACACAUUACUGUAAUAGACAAUUUCAUGACUUCUUCCAACUUUCUGCAUAAAUCAUCGAGUUCAGACUGAGUUAAUGUGAAAUAGUUAACUGUAGAGAAACUUGGUGGUGGUGAUGGGAACCAGGGUGACUACACAAACACCGACAUAUUUACUAUCCAGAACCACCAGUGAACCUACACCUGAGUUUUUAUAUGUAAUGUUGAUGGUAAAACAGUAAUAAAUAAAUAAUACAUUUCUUUUGGGACUAUUUUGUCUUAUGGUCUCAUAAACCAUGCAUGUACCUCAUGAACAGACGUUUUAGGCCAAAACCUUAUCAAAAUGAAUAUGAUGCAUCACCACUACUGUGAACGGAAAGUUUCUCUAGAAUGAAGCAUUAAAACCACCAUGAAUGAGUUUGUUUACAAUUUCGUUACGCAGAAGUUUUCCUUUGAGGGAGUUUAUGCACUGGCUAAAGACCAUUAGGCGUCCCUCUGAGCGUGACCACGUUCAGUACGGGCCUGGUUUAAUUUAAACUCGGCCUCUUUAACCAGGUGGAAUUGUUCCAAUAGAGUCAAAUUGCAAUGAAGGGCGUUCCUGUAAAACAAGAAUGGCCACAUCAGGAACGCCCACUUCUCAUUCAUUGCCCAAUAUAUCUGCUAAAUGUCUUCUCUCGUUGGUGGAUACAACUCAGUGGGGAAAAUACGUCAGUACUUGUAAAGAUGUAACACUAAAUUAAUAUUGUUUCUAUAUAUUUAGCUAUUCGGCAUUUAAAAGCAAAUAUUUAUGAAUCUAUAGGCUCUGGUGAUCUGUAGAGUUCUGUCUGGUUUUGUGACCCCCGACUUGAACUUGCGGUCUGAACGCCCAUCAUCAUCAUCUGCUCCAUACCAACCAUUAUUUAAAUAAUGUGUAAUAAUGGGUUACAAGGUUAACAUGAGGAAAAAAUACAUAGAAACCAUUGAGUUUCUGUUGGUUCUUGGGGGUUUGUGAUGCGUUUGGGCUUUUCUCGAGGGGUUCAUAAUAUAAAGGAUCCUAAUGGUUUACCAGGUGACCUGACUGAUACAUUUCCAGAUACAUUUCAGAUUCCAGUUGGAAACUAGUGGUCUCUAAUGGUAACCAUUAGGAGGCAAAAGGCAUUAGAUUUCAUGGACUUUAUUCAGUAGGGGCUGCCGUGGUGCUGCCAGCUUGCACAAUAUAACUGGCAAGGCUGAGUAUUGCUGACCAUCAAGCAACCACAUGCUUAUUUUCCACAAGUCCUGCUAAAAACAUUAAUGUAACGGUAAACUUACCGAGAUCAUAACCUGUAAUCGAAGCGCUCAGUGAUCUAGACCUUAUUAGUCUUUACUGUUUUUUCCCCGCAGUGUUCUGUACGACGGCGUUUUAGGGCCACUGUUAAUAAAAAUAGUAGACUUUGAGAAUAAAGCCAUAAUAUUCCGAUCAUAGUGUGGAAUUAGGACAUUAAAGUGGGAUAUUACCAGGAAAGGUCGCAAUAUUAUGGCCAAAGGGUUUGCAAAAGGAAGGUCGCAGGGAGAAUCGCAGGCACUGACCAUCUACACGGCUACCGGGGCUGCAUCUCCGCACCUUUCAAAGAGGACAUGAAGUUUCACAGACAGUGAGAAUGAUGAUCAAAAUGAUCGACCCACAAGGAGACGUGUGAGUGGAACUCCGCCUUGAUCUGCGUCGCUCUGUGUCUUUGUUGCAGCAACCCAGACCCCAACGCGCUGUCAGCCCCCUACAUCCUUGAAAUAUUGCAGGUUUAUUCUUUUAACUUUGUUUUUAAUCUCGAAAUAUUACAACUUUAUUCUCAAAUUCUACUAUUUUUACUUGUAUUACCCUAAAACGCCGUCAUAGUUCUGUUUACCCAGCAACUUUACUGUGGCUUUUACUCCAAAGCCCACCUUCCAUUGAUGUCAAACGGGGGUGGGCAUGUCAGCAUCACACCCAAGUAGUACCUGCUCUGUGAGGGUCCAUGGGGGUCCUGACUGCUGAAGAACAGGGUAAAAAUGGGCUAACAAAGUAUCAGAGAAACAGAUGGACUACAGUCUGUAAUUAUAGAACUACAAAGUGCAGCUAUACAGUACAAUAAGCAUAGAAACAAGGAGGUGGUUAUAAUGUUAUGCCUGAUGUGUUCACUUGCUGCUUUUUACCCUCCCGAUGCUAAAAAACAAAUACUUAACGGCCAGUUUGGCUGGAAAUGAAUAAAUGAAGAAUGGUGCACAGAACUGUAUUUUGAAUCCUACCAUCAGGAUAUUCGAGCACUUUGAGGUAACUAGAAUUAGAUGACUCACAGGAGUUCGGGCAGAUUAUUUAAUAUAAAUGAAUAGCAAAUAAGGGAUCAAUUUCUCGACUCAAAUGUUCGCAAUAUUGUAACGUAAACUCUUCUUUGGACUGAAAAACAGAUUUGGUCUGAACUGUUUGAAACCAAAGAAAUGACAAAACGGAUGCUUUGUUACAAAUCUUGCACAACUUCUAUUGUAGUCUCAUACAAAAACAGACAAAACAAUGACAAUCUUUUGACAAAAUGUACACAAAGUAGGCAGCCUCUUCACGCAGGAGAUGCCCCGUAAAUGUUACAGAAUUAUUUUCAUUAUUUUACAUAAAAUGAAAUUAAACAAGAGGAGCUCAGCAUGUGAAGAACUAAAUGUUUAAAAAGUCCAGUUUUCAUUUAUUUCAGUCACUGGUUUGGAAAAUGGGAGUUUUUAGAGGUGAGGGCUUCAGCAGCGCACAUGGUCAGAGUGCUCCUUAAAGCUUUGAUGGGAGAUGGGUAGCAGAGCAAAUGCAUUGCUGCAUUAGCUUGGGGUCUGGCUGGUACGGUGCACUGGAGGAACAUUCUGGGUAGAGACUAUUUGACGGCCCCAAAAAGGAAUAUAAUCCAUGCGCAACAGGUCAAGAGGUGUGAACCAGUCUGUUUUUUUUUUUUUUUUUAAUCAGUGAUGCACAUUAAGUGUCCAAGAUCAAAUUAAUCCAGUCAGCUUGUGCAAUAGCUGUGAAAGAAGCCGUAGUUUAUGGGCCUCAACCAAUGAAAAUGUUCCCAAUACCGUCUGCGCCAACCAAUCAGCACAAAGAGGCCGAGUCACAAAAGCCUCUGGAUAAAUUGGACAACGAGGAUCCAGAUGUUCCAGGUGGUGCCGAGACAUUCACGACAACCCAGUGAACAGCCAGAGAUGCUAGAGCGGCUGCUUGUGUCUCCUUUGGUCUCCGUCCUCGUUGUAAUCCACAGUGUCCCCCUACAGUCCUUUGAGGGC